GAUGAACGCUGGCGGCGUGCCUAAUACAUGCAAGUCGAGCGAACAGAUGAGGAGCUUGCUCCUCUGACGUUAGCGGCGGACGGGUGAGUAACACGUGGAUAACCUACCUAUAAGACUGGGAUAACUUCGGGAAACCGGAGCUAAUACCGGAUAAUAUAUUGAACCGCAUGGUUCAAUAGUGAAAGACGGUUUUGCUGUCACUUAUAGAUGGAUCCGCGCCGCAUUAGCUAGUUGGUAAGGUAACGGCUUACCAAGGCAACGAUGCGUAGCCGACCUGAGAGGGUGAUCGGCCACACUGGAACUGAGACACGGUCCAGACUCCUAAGGGAGGCAGCAGUAGGGAAUCUUCCGCAAUGGGCGGAAGCCUGACGGAGCAACGCCGCGUGAGUGAUGAAGGUCUUCGGAUCGUAAAACUCUGUUAUUAGGGAAGAACAAAUGUGUAAGUAACUAUGCACGUCUUGACGGUACCUAAUCAGAAAGCCACGGCUAACUACGUG
Molecule: ribosomal RNA, 497 nt
Filed under: uncultured bacterium
Lineage: Bacteria
Description: partial 16S ribosomal RNA
Rfam family: Bacterial small subunit ribosomal RNA
Source: RNAcentral